CUUCCGGCGCACCAAAUGCGCCACCUAUGUACCCUCCACCUCCUUAUGGUUAUGCCUCUUAUUAUCCAUCGGUGACACCAGUUCAGCCGCCACCACCUCCACCACCUGCUGGCGCUGAUCCCUCGCAGAGCCUUGCAAAUGCACCGUGGGCAACUCACAGUGCACCACCUCCACCUCCUUCUGGUGCUGAUCCGUCGCAGAGCAUCGCAAAUGCACCCUGGGCAACUCACAGUGCACCACCUCCACCACCAGCUACUGCUGAUCACUCACAGAGCAUUGCAAGUGCACCUUGGGCCACUCACAAUGCACCGCCUCCACCACCACCACCUUCCAGCAUUGAGCAGCCUCCU
This 350-nucleotide long non-coding RNA is filed under the name Oryza sativa (Asian cultivated rice). RNAcentral describes it as "long non-coding RNA (OSAT_LNC000761)". The record is from RNAcentral. Lineage: Eukaryota; Viridiplantae; Streptophyta; Magnoliopsida; Poales; Poaceae.